RNAcentral lists this ribosomal RNA (253 nucleotides) under uncultured bacterium. RNAcentral's name for it is "partial 16S ribosomal RNA". It matches the Rfam family "Bacterial small subunit ribosomal RNA", at positions 524 to 776 of the family's 1533-position model. The record is from RNAcentral.
UACGUAGGGUGCAAGCGUUAUCCGGAAUUAUUGGGCGUAAAGAGCUCGUAGGCGGUUUGUCGCGUCUGCUGUGAAAACUGGAGGCUCAACCUCCAGCCUGCAGUGGGUACGGGCAAACUAGAGUGCGGUAGGGGAGAUUGGAAUUCCUGGUGUAGCGGUGGAAUGCGCAGAUAUCAGGAGGAACACCGAUGGCGAAGGCAGAUCUCUGGGCCGGCAUUGACGCUGAGGCGCGAAAGCCAGGGGAGCAAACGGG